This 628-nucleotide ribosomal RNA is filed under the name Fellomyces horovitziae. Its description in RNAcentral is "eukaryotic LSU rRNA". It matches the Rfam family "Eukaryotic large subunit ribosomal RNA", at positions 47 to 663 of the family's 3401-position model. Lineage: Eukaryota; Fungi; Basidiomycota; Tremellomycetes; Tremellales; Cuniculitremaceae. The record is from RNAcentral.
UAAGCGGAGGAAAAGAAACUAACAAGGAUUCCCCUAGUAACGGCGAGUGAACAGGGAAGAGCUCAAAUUUGUAAUCUGGCGUCCCUUGGGCGUCCGAGUUGUAAUCUAUAGAAGCGUUUUCCGUGCUGGACCGUGUCCAAGUCCCUUGGAACAGGGUAUCAAAGAGGGUGACAAUCCCGUGCUUGACAUGACGACCAGUGCUCUGUGAUACGCUCUCUACGAGUCGAGUUGUUUGGGAAUGCAGCUCAAAACGGGUGGUGAGUUCCAUCUAAAGCUAAAUAUUGGCGAGAGACCGAUAGCGAACAAGUACCGUGAGGGAAAGAUGAAAAGCACUUUGGAAAGAGAGUUAAACAGUACGUGAAAUUGUUGAAAGGGAAACGAUUGAAGUCAGUCGUGUCCGAGGGGUUCAGCCGGUCCUGCCGGUGUAUUCCUCUCGGACGGGUCAACAUCAGUUUGGGUCGGCGGAAAAGGGCGGUAGGAAUGUGGCAGCUCCGGUUGUGUUAUAGCCUUCCGUCGCAUACGCUGGUCCAGACUGAGGAAUGCAGCUCGCCCUUGUGGCCGGGGUUUACCCACGUUCGAGCUUAGGAAUGUUGACAUAAUGGCUUUAAACGACCCGUCUUGAAACACG